CCUACGUGGGGCAGCAGUGGGGAAUAUUGCACAAUGGGGGAAACCCUGAUGCAGCGACGCCGCGUGAGUGAAGAAGUAUCUCGGUACGUAAAGCUCUUUUAGCAGGGAAGAAAAUGACGGUACCUGUCUAAGAAGCCCCGGCUAACUACGUGCCAGCAGCCGCGGUAAUACGUAGGGGGCAAGCGUUACCCGGAUUUACUGGGUGUAAAGGGAGCGUAGACGGCAGAACAAGUCUGGAGUGAAAUCACGGGGCUUAACCCCGGAACUGCAUUUGAAACUGUGCGGCUGGAGUGCAGGAGGGGUAAGCGGAAUUCCUAGUGUAGCGGUGAAAUGCGUAGAGAUUAGGAGGAACACCGGUUGCGAAGGCGACUUACUAGACUGUAACUGACGUUGAGGCUCGAAAGCGUGGGGAGCAAACAGGAUUAGAUACCCGAGUAGUC
This 440-nucleotide ribosomal RNA is filed under the name uncultured bacterium. RNAcentral describes it as "partial 16S ribosomal RNA". It matches the Rfam family "Bacterial small subunit ribosomal RNA", at positions 338 to 795 of the family's 1533-position model. The record is from RNAcentral.